Myripristis murdjan (pinecone soldierfish) is the source of this 531-nucleotide non-coding RNA. Lineage: Eukaryota; Metazoa; Chordata; Actinopteri; Holocentriformes; Holocentridae. The record is from the annotation of a RefSeq genome assembly.
UUUAAAUGCUCACUGUAGGUCUCAGUGAAUCUGAACUGUUUUCAUGCACUCACACCUAAAACUGCAUCAGGAUGAUGUUGCCAGUAGCUCUGCUUGUCAUGUUGGGUUUCCUGAGUCAGGAGUCUUCUGCCAACAAAUUUCUGACUCAGCCUGACAAAUCCAAGUCUGUGAGUCUUGGAGGGACUGUGUCCAUCAGCGCGACAGGGAGUUCAGAUAUCAGUGAUGAUCUCAGCUGGUACCUUCAGAAACCCGGACAGGCUGCCAAACUUCUGAUAUACCAAGCAUCAACUCUAAACUCAGGAACUCCAUCCAGAUUCAGAGGCAGUAGAUCUGGUUCCAGCUACACCUUAACCAUCAGUGGUGUUGAGGCUGAAGAUGCUGGAGAUUACUACUGUCUUGGCUAUCAUGUGGGCUACGCAACCACACGGUGAUUUAGAGUCGUACAAAAACCUCCCUCAGUUUGUGUGCAUUGAAAACGGCCUGCUGCAGGUGCUGAGUCUGAGGGAAGAGACUGUGAUGUGGAGAACUGGU